UGGGGAAUAUUGCGCAAUGGGCGAAAGCCUGACGCAGCGACGCCGCGUGAGGGAUGACGGCCUUCGGGUUGUAAACCUCUUUCAGCAGGGAAGAAGCGAAAGUGACGGUACCUGCAGAAGAAGCACCGGCUAACUACGUGCCAGCAGCCGCGGUAAUACGUAGGUUGCAAGCGUUGUCCGGAAUUAUUGGGCGUAAAGAGCUCGUAGGCGGUCUGUCGCGUCGGAUGUGAAAAUCCAGGGCUCAACCAUGGACCUGCAUUCGAUACGGGCAGACUAGAGAUCGGUAGGGGAGACUGGAAUUCCUGGUGUAGCGGUGAAAUGCGCAGAUAUCAGGAGGAACACCGGUGGCGAAGGCGGGUCUCUGGGCCGAAACUGACGCUGAGGAGCGAAAGCGUGGGGAGCGAACAGG
This 409-nucleotide ribosomal RNA is filed under the name Bacillota bacterium. RNAcentral describes it as "Firmicutes bacterium partial 16S ribosomal RNA". It matches the Rfam family "Bacterial small subunit ribosomal RNA", at positions 355 to 776 of the family's 1533-position model. Lineage: Bacteria; Bacillati; Bacillota. The record is from RNAcentral.